Molecule: ribosomal RNA, 433 nt
Filed under: uncultured bacterium
Lineage: Bacteria
Description: partial 16S ribosomal RNA
Rfam family: Bacterial small subunit ribosomal RNA
Source: RNAcentral
AACGAACGCUGGCGGCAUGCCUAACACAUGCAAGUCGAACGAGACCUUCGGGUCUAGUGGCGCACGGGUGCGUAACGCGUGGGAACCUGCCCGUAGGUUCGGAAUAACUCCCCGAAAGGGGUGCUAAUACCGGAUAAUGUCUUCGGACCAAAGAUUUAUCGCCGUUGGAUGGGCCCGCGUUGGAUUAGCUAGUUGGUAGGGUAAAAGCCUACCAAGGCGACGAUCCAUAGCUGGUCUGAGAGGAUGAUCAGCCACACUGGGACUGAGACACGGCCCAGACUCCUACGGGAGGCAGCAGUGGGGAAUAUUGGACAAUGGGCGAAAGCCUGAUCCAGCAAUGCCGCGUGAGUGAUGAAGGCCUUAGGGUUGUAAAGCUCUUUUACCCGGGAUGAUAAUGACAGUACCGGGAGAAUAAGCUCCGGCUAACUCCGUG